AGAGUUUGAUCCUGGCUCAGAACGAACGCUGGCGGCAGGCCUAACACAUGCAAGUCGAACGAAGCCUUCGGGCUUAGUGGCGGACGGGUUAGUAACGCGUGGGAACGUGCCCUUCACUGCGGAAUAGCCACUGGAAACGGUGAGUAAUACCGCAUACGCCCUUCGGGGGAAAGAUUUAUCGGUGAAGGAUCGGCCCGCGUUAGAUUAGAUAGUUGGUGGGGUAACGGCCUACCAAGUCUACGAUCUAUAGCUGGUUUUAGAGGAUGAUCAGCAACACUGGGACUGAGACACGGCCCAGACUCCUACGGGAGGCAGCAGUGGGGAAUCUUGGACAAUGGGCGCAAGCCUGAUCCAGCCAUGCCGCGUGAGUGAUGAAGGCCUUAGGGUCGUAAAGCUCUUUCGCCAGAGAUGAUAAUGACAGUAUCUGGUAAAGAAACCCCGGCUAACUCCGUGCCAGCAGCCGCGGUAAUACGGAGGGGGUUAGCGUUGUUCGGAAUUACUGGGCGUAAAGCGCACGUAGGCGGAUCAGAAAGUUGGGGGUGAAAUCCCGGGGCUCAACCCCGGAACUGCCUCCAAAACUCCAGGCCUUGAGUUCCAGAGAGGGAGGGGAACCCGAGCGAACACGCGA
This 628-nucleotide ribosomal RNA is filed under the name uncultured Phaeobacter sp. RNAcentral's name for it is "bacterial SSU rRNA". It matches the Rfam family "Bacterial small subunit ribosomal RNA", at positions 8 to 684 of the family's 1533-position model. The record is from RNAcentral. Lineage: Bacteria; Pseudomonadati; Pseudomonadota; Alphaproteobacteria; Rhodobacterales; Roseobacteraceae.